This 72-nucleotide transfer RNA is filed under the name Camelus bactrianus (Bactrian camel). It matches the Rfam family "tRNA". From Rfam's summary of the family: Transfer RNA (tRNA) molecules are approximately 80 nucleotides in length. The record is from Rfam by way of RNAcentral. Lineage: Eukaryota; Metazoa; Chordata; Mammalia; Artiodactyla; Camelidae. RNAcentral also lists the same sequence under 2 other names.
GAAGGUAAGGCUUAGUGGUACAGUGUGUGCUUAACAUGCAUGAAGUCCUGGGUUUAAUCCCCAGUACUGCCA